This 439-nucleotide ribosomal RNA is filed under the name uncultured Bacillota bacterium. RNAcentral describes it as "bacterial SSU rRNA". It matches the Rfam family "Bacterial small subunit ribosomal RNA", at positions 917 to 1359 of the family's 1533-position model. Lineage: Bacteria; Bacillati; Bacillota. The record is from RNAcentral.
GAGCCCGCACAAGCAGUGGAGUAUGUGGUUUAAUUCGAAGCAACGCGAAGAACCUUACCAGGGCUUGACAUCCACGGAAGACUGGGUAAUGCCGGUCGUGCCCUUCGGGGAGCCGUGAGACAGGUGGUGCAUGGUUGUCGUCAGCUCGUGUCGUGAGAUGUUGGGUUAAGUCCCGCAACGAGCGCAACCCUUGCUGUCAGUUGCUACGCAAGAGCACUCUGGCAGGACUGCCGUUGACAAAACGGAGGAAGGUGGGGAUGACGUCAAAUCAUCAUGCCCCUUACGCUCUGGGCUACACACGUACUACAAUGGAUUAAAAACAGAGGGGAGCAAAGGCGCGAGCCGGAGCAAAUCCCAAAAAGAGUCCUCAGUUCAGAUUGCAGGCUGCAACUCGCCUGCAUGAAGUUGGAAUUGCUAGUAAUCGCGGAUCAGCAUGUCG